Molecule: ribosomal RNA, 570 nt
Filed under: uncultured bacterium
Lineage: Bacteria
Description: bacterial SSU rRNA
Rfam family: Bacterial small subunit ribosomal RNA
Source: RNAcentral
ACACAUGCAAGUCGAACGAAGCACUUUAUUUGAUUUCCUUCGGGACUGAUUAUUUUGUGACUGAGUGGCGGACGGGUGAGUAACGCGUGGGUAACCUGCCUUGUACAGGGGGAUAACAGUUGGAAACGGCUGCUAAUACCGCAUAAGCGCACGGCAUCGCAUGAUGCAGUGUGAAAAACUCCGGUGGUAUAAGAUGGACCCGCGUUGGAUUAGCUAGUUGGUGAGGUAACGGCCCACCAAGGCGACGAUCCAUAGCCGACCUGAGAGGGUGACCGGCCACAUUGGGACUGAGACACGGCCCAAACUCCUACGGGAGGCAGCAGUGGGGAAUAUUGCACAAUGGGCGAAAGCCUGAUGCAGCGACGCCGCGUGAGCGAAGAAGUAUUUCGGUAUGUAAAGCUCUAUCAGCAGGGAAGAUAAUGACGGUACCUGACUAAGAAGCACCGGCUAAAUACGUGCCAGCAGCCGCGGUAAUACGUAUGGUGCAAGCGUUAUCCGGAUUUACUGGGUGUAAAGGGAGCGCAGGCGGUGCGGCAAGUCUGAUGUGAAAGCCCGGGGCUCAACCCCGGU